RNAcentral lists this ribosomal RNA (468 nucleotides) under uncultured bacterium. RNAcentral describes it as "partial 16S ribosomal RNA". It matches the Rfam family "Bacterial small subunit ribosomal RNA", at positions 28 to 507 of the family's 1533-position model. The record is from RNAcentral.
GACGAACGCUGGCGGCGUGCUUAACACAUGCAAGUCGAACGGAAAGGCCCUGCUUUUGUGGGGUGCUCGAGUGGCGAACGGGUGAGUAACACGUGAGUAACCUGCCCUUGACUUUGGGAUAGCUUCAGGAAACUGGGGCUAAUACCGGAUAGGAGCUCCUGCUGCAUGGUGGGGGUUGGAAAGUUUCGGCGGUUGGGGAUGGACUCGCGGCUUAUCAGCUUGUUGGUGGGGUAGUGGCUUACCAAGGCUUUGACGGGUAGCCGGCCUGAGAGGGUGACCGGCCACAUUGGGACUGAGAUACAGCCCAGACUCCUACGGGAGGCAGCAGUGGGGAAUAUUGCACAAUGGGCGGAAGCCUGAUGCAGCAACGCCGCGUGCGGGAUGACGGCCUUCGGGUUGUAAACCGCUUUCGCCUGUGACGAAGCGUGAGUGACGGUAAUGGGUAAAGAAGCACCGGCUAACUACGUG